Molecule: long non-coding RNA, 3325 nt
Filed under: Olea europaea subsp. europaea
Lineage: Eukaryota; Viridiplantae; Streptophyta; Magnoliopsida; Lamiales; Oleaceae
Source: RNAcentral
CUUUUUUUUUUCCCUUCCAAAUCAGACAGUGAAUUACAGAUUUCAUUCCUAAAUCACAAUUCACUCCGUCACUUGAUUACCCUAAACUAAUCUCAUUGUAGUCGGUUUCUCCAAUCUCUCGUCGUCGUCUCCAACUCCCGUUGCAAUCCAAUUCAAGCGCUUUUUCCUAGCUCCUAUAUUACUUCUAAAGCCUGAAAUCAACUUCAACUUACCGAGACACCGACAGUCCGACUCCGUAGCUGCAAGCUAAUCCAAUAUUCGUUUCCUUGUUUGAUCUGGUUCGAUUUUUUUGUUUUGACUAUUUUGCUUGAGUGUUAAUUUAUGUUUGGAUUUUUCUUUCAGGUGCCUAUGUGUUUUAUAAAUUGUUCUGAAGAUCCCCGUUCAAUUGCACAUAGUACUAUUUUUACAUUUAUAUUUCAGUGUUUGCUUAUUGUUCAGUUUAGCUUAAGUUGUUUAAAUUGUUCUGAAGACCCCUGCUUUAUCUUAUGGAAAUCUGAAAUCUAUUGCAUUUAUAUGUGUAAUUUGAAAUCUGUCAUCCAUAUUUGAGAUUGUGGAAUGCAUCUGUAAACUGUUUCUAUUUGAAUCCGUAAAUCUAUAAUCCUUGUUUGAGAUUGUGGAAUCCAUAUUUCUAUUUAACCUUUGUAACUUGUAAGUGUAGAUUAACAAUCUGAAAAUCCUUUAUUUGUAAAAUGUAAAUCUGUAAUCUGUAAUUUUAUUUAAUUUGCCUUAGUAACUAAAAUCUGAAAUUUAAUGUAAUACAUGUACACAAUGUGCAGGUGUUCGAAUAUGGAUGUUGACAAUGAAUGUGAAUACAUUGGUGAAAUCCCAGCAACAUCAAUUCCAGGUAGAAAUAUUAUGAAUCUUACACCACUUCCAUUGUUAUGUUUAGGGAAGAGAAAUCACAACAAGAAAACUUCGGAUGUAUGGAAUCAUUUCACGAUAAUGGGAGAUCCAAAAGAUGAAGAUGUUAGGUGUGAGUGUAAAUAUUUUGGGCAAUCUUAUACCUGUGGGGCUAAGAAAUAUGGACUAGUACUUUAAGAUGUCAUUUAGUUAAACAUUGUUAAAAAGUAUCCUAGUAGGGUAGGUGACAAAAGGCAAAAAAAUCUUUAGUUUUGAUAAACAAGUUGAUGCUGGUGGGACCAAUCUUAUGGCUAUUGGGUUUAGUAAGGAAGCGUGUAGAUUAGCAUGUGCAAGAAUGGUGGUUGAUUUUCCAUUGCGUAGGACUAUUGUGAGGGAUAUUUACCAACUAUAUUUGAGUGAGAAAUUAGAGUUGAGAAAGAACCUUACUACUCAACGUCAAAGAGUUUCACUUACUAUAGAUACUUGAACAUCCAUUCAAAAUAUAAAUUAUAUGUCUCUUACAGCCCAUUACGUUGACUCUAAUUGGAUGCUUAAGAAAAGAAUUUUGAAUUUUUGAGUGAUACCUAAGCACAAGGGUAAAACCAUCGGCAAGGUUAUAGAAAUUUGCUUGCACGAGUGGGGCCUUGACAAGGUGUUUACAAUCACAGUGGAUAACACUAGCGCAAAUGAAAUGGCUAUUUCAUAUCUUAGAAGGAAGAUGAUUGGUUGGGGGUAAUGAUGGGUGUGUUUUGGAUGGAAAAUAUUUCACAUGAGAUGUUGUGCACAUAUCAUUAACUUGAUAGUGUGUGAGGGGCUGAAGGAAGCACAUGAUUCAAUAGUUAGUAUUCGUAAUGCAGUGAAGUAUGUAAAAUCCUCACUUGCUAGAUAUGAAAAAUUGAAAGAGUGUGCAACCAAAGAAAGAUCGAAUCAAAAUCACUUGUGUUUCUAGAUAUAUCUACGAGGUAGAAUUCUACCUAUUUAAUGUUGGAGGCUGCUUUGAAGUAUCAAAAAGCUUUCGAGCGCUUAGAAGAGGAGGACGGACAUUACUUAAGUUAUUUUCGAAAUGAUGAUGGUGGUAGAAGAAGAUGUGGACCCCCUUUAGUACGUGAUUGGGAAAAUGCAUCUAUUUUUGUCAAAUUUCUUAAAGGAUUUUAUGAAAUCACUUUAAAGUUCAGUACUUCAUUACAUGUUAGCUCCACAAUUUAUCUUCGUGAAGCAUGUUCACUUGUAGCGGAUUUAGCAUAUUAGAGUUCAAGUAAAAAUUAUCUUUUAGGUGAAAUGGUUACUAAUAUGCAGAGAAAAUUUGAUGAGUAUUGGGGAAAUAUGGACAAUGUCAAUCAAAUGUUGUUGACUGCUACCGUGCUUGAUCCCAGAUAUAAAUUAGAUGAUGUUCAGUAUUGUUUUUGUGAUAUUUAUAAUGAUAAAAAAAUGGCUAGUACAAUGACCCAAACAUUGAAGGAAAUUUGUUUUCUAUUUAUGACUGGUAUGUGAUGUAUGAGGGAAGUCCACAAAGCGGUCAAGUAUUGAUGGAUACAUCUGCAAGUGGGUCAUCUUCUACAAGUCAAGUCAGCUCCACUUGUAGUGCAUCUUCUGCUCGUAUUUUCAAGUUUAAGGAACAACAAGCCGCAAAAGAUUCAGUUGAGAUAAAAUGACUUGGAAAAAUAUUUAUCGGAUGCUUGCGAAGAUAUAGAGAAUGAGGAGUUUGAUGUCCUUGAUUGGUGGAAGGUACAUGGAAGUAAGUAUAGAACAUUUGUCCAUACUUGCAAAAGAUGUGUUGGCAAUUCAAGUGUCUACUGUGGCUUCAGAAAGUGCUUUCAGUAUGGGUGGAAGAAUUCUAGACCCAUUUCGUAGUUUUUUAACUGCUAAGAUGGUCGAGAUUUUAGUUUGCACUCAAAAUGGCUCAAAUCUAUUCCAAGCGAAGACAAAUUUUACAUGGAGGAUGUAGAGUAUUAUAAUAAAUUGGAUGAAGGUAAUUAUUAAUCAACUAUUUCAUUAAGUGUGUUAAUUACAUGUGUUUCAAAUUCAUUUACUACCAAUUGAAUCAUUUUAUUUUUUAGAUCUUUCAGACGUAACGAAAAGGGAUGAAGAUUCCAACAUCAAAGAUAAAUAAGUCAUUUUAUGUGUUCCUGUAAGGUAAUUUUAUUGUUUUGCAUCGCAUUUGAUCAUAUCUUUACAAUGAAAUAUAAUUUAAGUUACCACAUUUUGUAGGUGAAGAUGAUUCAAAAUGAUGUUCGUGCUUGAUAGACAACUUUUGGAACUUCGAUUUCACUUUCGUGGACAUUUUAUUUUCCUCGAGUCUAUACAUUAGAUGUUAACAAAAUUUAUUUUUUGUGCUUGAGUUUCUUUGUUGUAACAUAAAUCUUAUUUUCUUACUCUUGACUUUGGAUUAUAUUGGGAUGGAAAAAAACUUGAUGAAGAUUCGGUUUGGUUAUGGUUAUGUGUUGAUUAUUGACUAUGUCAGUGUGAGUGGUUAAAUUGAAUGGAA